This is a non-coding RNA of Camelina sativa (false flax), 439 nucleotides long. NCBI's taxonomy places the organism in Eukaryota, Viridiplantae, Streptophyta, Magnoliopsida, Brassicales, Brassicaceae. The record is from RefSeq and is a predicted model, not a curated record.
UUCCGGAUGAUUGAGUUUUUUUUUGGGUUUUUACUUAUUGUGCUUUCUUCCUCUUAAUGUUAAAAUCGAGAGAUUAUGUUAAAUCAUCAAAAGAAAUAUGUAAAAUUGAAGGAAAAAAAAACUUCAAAGCCAGCUGUUUUCUUCUUCUUCUUCUUCUUCUACCAUCUCUCUUUUUGGUCGCUUUCAAAAUUCCUCAAAUUCAUCCUCCGUUAAUCACCAGCAUUGUCUUUCUUACCGAUCUGACUAUCUCAACAUUCGAAAUCUCCGGUGUUAAAGCUUGAUCUGAAGAAUGGUUAGGCCUUCUGGAGAUGUUACUCUUGAUAGAGCUACGUAUAGUUGGCCAUGGCUAAAGACUGGUUUGGUGUGAAAGGGUGGUCUGAAAUUGGUGGGGACAAAAUUAUCCUUGGUAGUAGUACUUUAUUUCCAGCAUGUGUACCGG